UUUGAGAUAUUGGAAUAUUGGAAGAAUAAUGCAACAAAGUAUAGAGUGUUAUCUCAAAUAGCAAAGGAUGUGUUGGCCAUGCCCAUUUCUACCGUUGCUUCGGAGUCGGCUUUCAGUACCGGGGGACGUAUCCUUGAUCCAUUCCGUAGUUCACUUGCCCCUUCCAUGGUUGAAGCUCUUGUAUGCACACAAAAUUGGCUUAAAAGCAACCUUCCAAUUUCUCUUCGAAAAGCAAUGGAUGAUGUGAAGGAAUUUGAGCAAUACGACUCGGGUACUUUGGAGCCAUGUUCCUCUUCAACCCCAAAGUCUAAUGUAGAUGCUAUAAUUGAACUUUAAUGUUCAUUUGGCUCAUAUUGUUGGAUGAGAUUGGACAUUGGAAGAUGGACCUAAAGAGUUUAGUGAAGCCUUGGAUGGAUACCACCUUUUGAAAUUAUUUUGGAUGAAGUUUGUAGACAAUGUUAUUUUAGUUUGUAACUAAUGUUUAUUAUUAUUUUUUUUAUUUUGGAUGAAUGCAAAAUUAAUUGGAGCACUAAAUUUUAGGUAAGCUUGCUUUAGAUUUUGGAUGGAUGGAUGGAUGAAAACUAAUUUAUUUUAGUUUCUAACUAGUUAUUAUUAUUAUUUUUGCAUUUUGGAUUAAUGGGUAAGCUUUGGAUUAUGGAUGGAUGGAGAUAACUAGUUAUUAUUAUUAUUUUUACAUUUUGGAUGAAUGUAAAAUUUAGGUAAACUUUAGAUUAUGGAUGGAUGGAGAUGACUAGUUAUUAUUAUUAUUUUUGUAUUUUGGAUGAAUGUAAAAUUUAGGUAAGCUUUGGAUUAUGGAUGGAUGGAGAUUGAUUUUAGUGUGAAUUUUAAUGUUUUAGUUUGUAAUUAGUUUUAUCAAUUAUUUUUGUAUUUUGGAAGAAUGUAAAAUUUAUUAUAUCAUUAUAUGGGCAUUUAUGUUAUCAUGAAUUUAAUUUAUAACUUUUCCAUAAAUAAUAAAAAAAUGCUUAAAAAGUAGCCCAACAUGUCAAAUUUGUUCAAAUUAAUAUCAUAACUAAGCCCAAUUUAAAAAAA
This is a non-coding RNA of Camellia sinensis, 1050 nucleotides long. The record is from RefSeq and is a predicted model, not a curated record. NCBI's taxonomy places the organism in Eukaryota, Viridiplantae, Streptophyta, Magnoliopsida, Ericales, Theaceae.